RNAcentral lists this long non-coding RNA (1676 nucleotides) under Numida meleagris (helmeted guineafowl). RNAcentral's name for it is "lncRNA (ENSNMEG00000007601.1)". Lineage: Eukaryota; Metazoa; Chordata; Aves; Galliformes; Numididae. The record is from RNAcentral.
UAAUAUCCUCAUGCUGAAAGCAGAGCAGAAUCAAUUCCCACCAUCCUCCCCAUACACCGAGCCCCAGUGAUUGCUGAUUGUUCACCAGGGCAGGAAAUGAGCUCCUAAAACCACUGAGCGCCAAUUACAGUGUAUUAUAUUAAAAUAUUUGUUUUGUGUCAUAGUGAACCAAGCCACUGCAGGUCACAAGUAGCCAUGUGAGGAUUUUCACAAUACUUCCUCCCACCCUAUAUGACGUCUAAAGGGUAACAUCAGCCUGAACACACACAUUUCUGGGUUGAGGGUCUUUGGUGACAAUCUCUUGCCCCAUUUUUCUGACGCAGGAAUAAGUGUCACCUGCAGCUCUCUAGUAGCAGGCUGCUGGCUGGCUCAUCCUCAGCACCACUACCAGCACCUUUAUCUACCUCUCCUGGUGAAAAAGAAUUAUUUCCAGAGCAAACAAGGAGCCAGCAGGAGCUCUGAGACCCAGGGUGCCAUCGUGUGCUGGCAGCAAGCUGUCCCAUCAGUCACAGGAGACAGAGAAAGCAGACCACCAGAGGGAGCAGAGGAAAACAGCAGCUCUCAAAACGAGGAAGCAAGAACACAGCGUAAUAACAUUUUUUUCCUUCAAUCUCUGCAGUUAUUCUAUGAGGUGCCCCAUCAGUGUGCUGGAAGCACCAGGUGUCAGUCUGCAGCCCAGCCAUUGGUGCCCAGGGCCCCAGCGGGCAAGGCAGCAUUAGGAACUGGUUAAUUCAGACCUGCAGUGAACCUGAAGAGGAUCUCUUUGAAGAGUAACAGAUCCAUCCACUGGCUGGAAGAAACAUUUCUAAUCUGGGCCCCCUGGUCACAUCCAGGCUUUGAGGGAAUAGAAGAAACACCAAAACCCCCACCCUUUGCAAAUAGUGGCUCUUGUUGCCACAAAGGAGUGUGCAAAGUAACAGCUGCAGGAAACCUGCCUGGGAGGGAGGGCAAUACACUGGGGCCAUAUGCCCGGUGGUGCCACCGCAGAGGCUUCUAAAGGACAGGCACAGAGUGUUGAGGGUCUGGAACAGGGCAGCAGAGCUCAGCUCUGGCCCCAGUCAUCCCCUAGCUAGAUGGGCUGCGCUCGGCACGCUCCACCUCACCUUCUUCCCUUGCUUCACCAGUUGCAGCCAGAUGGUGUACUUGUGUAUAAAGUUCUCAGAACAACCUGCACGUAGAGCAGCGAGAAGAGGCCUGAAGAGCAAAGCUGGCAGCCUUGAGGAGACCAUCCAGCCCAUCUGUGUGUCCAUGUACGAAGCAAAUGUGCCUUGGCCUUGCUGGGAACCAUGGCACAUGCAGAAGGCUCCAUUGUUGCUCCUUCAAAAAGCUGAAUUAUCUCCUGGAGCUGGAGGCUGACAAUUGCACAGGUUCCACGGCAUUAUGCACGGUUGGAUUUUUGCUGGUUUGUUCUCUGCUGUGCUGUGCUGCCUGUAAUCGUGUUGCAUUUUAGUUAUUUAACGUUGUCCAAACAGCAGCCCUGGGGCAGUGGAGGUGGCAAAGGCUUAGUGCUGCUGAUGGAGCAUACAGAUGGAAAGUGGAGAGGGGAGGGACAGAAUAAGCUGCUCUGGAGAGAAGAACAGCGACUCCAGGCAGGGAGGUGUCCUGCUGGUGCACUAGGAAAUCUGGAAGUUGAUAAUAGUAAUAAAGGGCAAAAGAACACAGCUGUUCUUCUACCA